This is a long non-coding RNA of Triticum aestivum (bread wheat), 775 nucleotides long. RefSeq lists it as uncharacterized. The record is from RefSeq and is a predicted model, not a curated record. NCBI's taxonomy places the organism in Eukaryota, Viridiplantae, Streptophyta, Magnoliopsida, Poales, Poaceae. The transcript has 3 exons.
CUGGAUUCGAAGUUCUACAUCUAAGCAUCAAUGGUGUCCUCCCUCUCCAUGUCCGCGAGGGUUAUUUCCAGGUGAUUGUCGCAUUCAAAGUUCUAUGUCUAAGGAUCGAUGGUGUCCUUCCUCUUCAUGGUGGUGGGGUUAUUUCCAGGUGAUUGACGGGUUCAAAGUUUGAUCUAAGCAUCGAUGGUAUGAUCCCUCUUCAUGGCCCUGAGGGUUAUUUCGAGCUGCUGCUACGAGCUUGCUCUAGCCGGGAGCUUGCUCUAGCCGGGAGAGGACAGGAGGAGGAAGCGCGGGUGGAGGAUCUUGUCCAGUCUGGAGCAAGAAAAAGAAGAAGAUUGCUAGGAAUGGAGUUCUUCCGUGUGCCGCUAUUUUUGCUCUUUGCUCAGUGCAUUCAUGUUGAGUCUAACAAGACGAGCACAAGUUGGAGUGUUGCCGUUGCUUUGGUCACGGUGUCACUAAAGUUUUGUUGGCUUGUAAUAUAGUCUAGUUACACAUACAUUGAUAUUUAGUUGGCAGAAAAACUAGUUGCACACAUAUAUGCUCAGUUUGGCUUGUAAUUUAGUCUAGUUACACAUAUAUUAAUGUUAAAUUGGCAGGACACUACUUGCACACACAUAUGCGCAAUUUGACGCGGCAAUGUAGUCUAGUUGCACACACAUUGAUAUUUAUUUGGCAGGACUAGUUACACAUAUAUGCUCAAUUGGCUCGGCAAUAUUGUCUAGUUGCACACAUAUUGAUGUUUAGUUGGGAGGACUAUUCGAACACCCAUAUGCUC